UUAGUGGCGGAAGGGUUAGUAAUACAUAGAUAAUCUGUCCUCAACUUGGGAAUAACGGUUGGAAACGACCGCUAAUACCGAAUGUGGUAUGUUUAGGCAUCUAAAACAUAUUAAAGAAGGGGAUCUUCGGACCUUUCGGUUAAGGGAGAGUCUAUGGGAUAUCAGCUUGUUGGUGGGGUAAUGGCCUACCAAGGCUUUGACGUCUAGGCGGAUUGAGAGAUUGACCGCCAACACUGGGACUGAGACACUGCCCAGACUUCUACGGAAGGCUGCAGUCGAGAAUCUUUCGCAAUGGACGAAAGUCUGACGAAGCGACGCCGCGUGUGUGAUGAAGGCUCUAGGGUUGUAAAGCACUUUCGCUUGGGAAUAAGAGAGA
RNAcentral lists this ribosomal RNA (376 nucleotides) under uncultured Chlamydia sp. RNAcentral's name for it is "bacterial SSU rRNA". It matches the Rfam family "Bacterial small subunit ribosomal RNA", at positions 92 to 455 of the family's 1533-position model. Lineage: Bacteria; Pseudomonadati; Chlamydiota; Chlamydiia; Chlamydiales; Chlamydiaceae. The record is from RNAcentral.